Molecule: ribosomal RNA, 347 nt
Filed under: uncultured bacterium
Lineage: Bacteria
Description: partial 16S ribosomal RNA
Rfam family: Bacterial small subunit ribosomal RNA
Source: RNAcentral
CCUACGGGAGGCUGCAGUCGAGAAUCAUUCACAAUGGGGGAAACCCUGAUGGUGCGACGCCGCGUGGGGGAAUGAAGGUCUUCGGAUUGUAAACGCCUGUCAUGUGGGAGCAAAUUAAAAAGAUAGUACCACAAGAGGAUGAGACGGCUAACUCUGUGCCAGCAGCCGGGGUAAUACAGAGGUCUCAAGCGUUGUUCGGAAUCACUGGGGGUAAAGGGUGUGUAGGCUGUUUCGUAAGUCGUGUGUGAAAGGCUCGGGCUUAACCCGCGGACGGCACAUGAUACUGCGAGACUAGAGUAAUGGAGGGGGAAGCGGAAUUCUCGGUGUAGCAGUGAAAUGCGUAGAUA